AGUGAACGCUGGCGGUAGGCCUAACACAUGCAAGUCGAACGGCAGCACAGGAGAGCUUGCUCUCUGGGUGGCGAGUGGCGGACGGGUGAGGAAUACAUCGGAAUCUACUCUGUCGUGGGGGAUAACGUAGGGAAACUUACGCUAAUACCGCAUAGGACCUACGGGUGAAAGCAGGCGACCUUGGGGCCUUGCGCGAUUGACUGAGCCGAUGUCGGAUUAGCUAGUUGGCGGGGAAAAGGCCCAGCAAGGCGACGAUCCGUAGCUGGUCUGAGAGUAUGAUCAGCCACACUGGAACUGAGACACGGUCCAGACUCCUACGGGAGGGAGCAGUGGGGAAUAUUGAACAAUGGGCGCAAGCCUUAUCCAGCCAUACCGCGUGGGUGAAGAAGGCCUUCGGGUUGUAAAGCCCUUUUGCUGGGAAAGAAAUCCAGCUGGCUAAUACCCGGUUGGGAUGACGGUACCCAAAGAGUACGCACCGGCUAACUUCGUGCCAGCCGCCGCCGUAA
Molecule: ribosomal RNA, 506 nt
Filed under: uncultured bacterium
Lineage: Bacteria
Description: partial 16S ribosomal RNA
Rfam family: Bacterial small subunit ribosomal RNA
Source: RNAcentral